GUUCUUCCAACUGAAAGUCCCCCAGCUCUGCGGGAACUUGGCUGUGAUGACCUUCCUGGCCCCUCUAGUAGUGCUUGACUGGUUGGCGAUUCUUUCCUAAGUGCCAUUGUUGGGUGGUAGAGGCAGCGAAAGUGCAGGGGUAGGGGGGAGCGAGGUCUCUCCCAACGUCCUGGGCUUUGCCAUGUGGAAGAUUUUUCGUUGGUCUCCCCGGGCUACCUGCACUUCACAGAAGAUAAUCACCGUUACUGGCCCUGUUCUCGACCCUAAUAUUAAGAGAAGCAGACUUGGGUAUGGCAACAUCAAAGAAAAAGGUCUCAAGAAGAUCCACAGAGCUGCUCUCAUUGGCAAUGUCUGUGAAGUGGAGGCACUUAUUCUGCGGCGUAAAAGGGCCUUGAAUGAGAUGGACUCGCAACACAGGACUCCCCUCCAUUUGGCCGCAGCCCAUGGUCACAGUGCAGUGGUCACUCUGCUUGCAGAGAGAAAAUGCGACCUUAACCUGCGUGAUGCUGAGCACAGGACAGCUCUGGUGAAGGCAGUACAAAACCAGGAAGAAGAUUGUGUACGUAUUCUUCUAGAACAUGGUGCUGAUCCAGAUAUUUUGGACGCUGAUGGCAACUCUGCGCUCCACUAUGCUGUUCAAAAUGAAAAUGAGUCCAUAAUAACAAAGCUGCUUUUACACAAAGCAAAUAUUGAGGUACCAAACAAGAUUGGAUAUACACCACUUUUAUAUGCUGUGAGUCAAAAAAAAAUAAAUUAAUAGAGUUUUUGCUAAGCAAGGGAGCAAAUAUAAAUGCUGUUGAUAGUUUUGGAAGAUCAGCCCUCGCGUUUGCUGCAUGCCAUGAUUCACCAGAGGUCAUUCAUAUUCUCCUCCGGCAUGGCAUUGAUUGCUCUUCUGAAGAUCGGGGUGGAAGGACUGCUGACCAGUAUGCUCUUCUUCAUGGUUAUAUUAACAAUCACAAAAUAAUACUUGACCAUAAAAGUGGAAAGGACCAACAGAACAAAAAGAAUGAAAACGAAAAGGAAGAAAUGAAGGAAAAUGAUAAAAAGAAGGAAGAGAAUGAUCUAGUUGAAUGGACAGAAGUACACACAUUUUCAGGACCAGGAUCAAGCACAGAUUCAAGUAAAGCAAAAAAAGAAUUCUCACAAGGACACUCUUAAGAGGCGUCCCAUGAAACUAAACUUUGAUGAUUCGUGUUCUACAUUAUCCAAAAUCGUAGAUUUUGAAACUAAGGUAAUGUGAGCUUUGUGAAAUGUUCUGCUGUAUUUCGUUUCCAUUUAGUAUCUCAGUGUGGCAUUCAUUCAUUCAUGAAUUAUUGCCCCAUUGGUUUCCUUUUUCUUUCUGUCUUGAAAGAAGCUGACUUUAUUAAUAAAUUGUUUUAA
Long non-coding RNA from Talpa occidentalis (Iberian mole), 1380 nucleotides. RefSeq lists it as uncharacterized. The transcript has 9 exons. Lineage: Eukaryota; Metazoa; Chordata; Mammalia; Eulipotyphla; Talpidae. The record is from RefSeq and is a predicted model, not a curated record.